Bombus huntii is the source of this 2914-nucleotide RNA transcript. It is a transcript of the gene named hematopoietic prostaglandin D synthase-like, with no coding region annotated. NCBI's taxonomy places the organism in Eukaryota, Metazoa, Arthropoda, Insecta, Hymenoptera, Apidae. The transcript is spliced from 3 exons. The record is from RefSeq and is a predicted model, not a curated record.
AUAUACUCAAAAUUCUCAAGGGCUGCUGCAAAGACGAAGUCCGCCCAUGUCGUCUGAAAAAAGGUUUGUAUACAUUUAUUUUGUACUUCCUCUAUUAAACAAUUUUUUUAAUUUACCUUGAAAAAUGUGAAAAAUCGAACUCUUAACUAAAGAUCACUAGCUUUUUAGGAAGAAUUUGGAUUUUUAUUUUAUUGUCAGAAUUUAAUGGAUAAUUUUAGAAACUUCAACCUUUGGAGGUAUUUGUUAAUUAAAAAUGACAAAACUGGUAUUAUGUAAAAAAGAGUAAUGUGUAUCCUGAAUCAAUGUCGAAUGGAAAUUAGACAGUUCUAUAAAAAUAAUCCUUCUCACGAUUCCACAACUUCAUAGCUUAAUUAAAUACAAUUCUUCGGCGAUAUAAUUACAAAUACAUUUACAGGAAUUGUGUAAUAUGAUAAAUAUCUCGUUAAAGAAAUUGAAAUCGUAAACUCUAGAUUCUAGUAUUCUUUCACUUUCAUGUUUCCUAUGAGCCCUUCAAUCGCUAAAUAUUUUGCAAUGAAACACGUAUUAUUAAACAACAUAAUCAUACUAAAUUAAUUUAAUGUGACUAUUUAUUAUUAUUAUAUAAUAACACAGUGAUGAAAGAAAUAAACUGGUCAAGUAAUCUAAGGAACGAUAAUACGUAUCUAUGUCAGUGACAGUGAGAAAAAUUCAGAUAUCUGUACUUAAGUGAUUACACUUAUAAGUAUCAUUAUAUAUUAUAUAAAUAUGAUAUUUCGAAUGGUAUCAUUUAUCACUCAUUAAACAAGAGUGUCAUAUCCAGAGAAAUGAUUUUACAUAUCUUAAUCUUUGCUUUGAUUACGAUAGUAAUAAUUUCUAUCAAACUUGAUGAGGAAGAUACAUGAAUAAUUAUCUAAAAGCUGAAAAUCUUGGCAAAUUCAUUUGUACAUAAACUAACAGGAGUGAAUUUUAAAGAUACACUCUGCUCUCAACAAUUAAAGCUGUCUUGUCGCAACAAAGUUUCAAUAAUUUUUUAUGGACAACAUGGCCCAGUUUGCACAAAGACUAAAAAUUUUAACAUUAAAUUUGGCUAAAAAAUCUUACGGUAGAAGGAAUGAUAUAUCCUUCAUUUUCGCCAAUAAUCUGGUCGAAUUUAGUCAAGUAAAAUGGUAUUGUUUCGUUCAAAAGUUGAUUCUUCCUCGCUUCCUUCUUUUCAGGAUCCUCCUCCAUGCGAUAGUAGCAGAUAUCUGAAACGUAUAUGAAACCAACCGUUACGUUCAUUUGUGUUUUUCCCCCCAAACGAAGAGAAAAUAAGUUGUGAAAGAAGGAGUAGCCUCUCAUAGUUCCUACAAUUUCUUCAUUCUCUUUGCUUUCUUCAAUAUUGUCUCAACAAGUUCCUGUGGUUCACGAUACUUAAAAUAUAUACAAUGUUACCAGCGUGGAAAUUGUCUUGGAAACUUGGAAAAUCUUUCAAGAGGAACAACAUUGCUAACUGAGAUUCGAGAAAGGAAAGUUGACAGAGCAAGGAAAAUGAGCGACGAACAUACCUACAAACUAAUCUACUUCAAUACCCGUGGUCGUGCCGAACAUAUACGGUACAUAUUUGCAUAUACUGGCAUCGAGUAUACCGACGAGAGGAUCCCCGAAGAACUCUGGCCUGAAUACAAGGAUUCAAUGCCUUAUAAAAAGCUGCCUGUGCUGGAGGUAGACGGGAAACCGGUAGCGCAGGGUAACGCUGUGGCGCCUUACUUGGCGAGGAAGUACGAUCUAAUGGGAAACUGCAAAGGGGAUGCGCUGAUAUGCGAAGUGCUCGUCGAUACUCUUGAAGAUUUGGAGCAAGGUGAGUAACUGAUGAGAUGACUUUGCAUUUGUCUCACCACAGAGACAGACGUUCAAGAAUUCAUUGUGAAAAGACGAGUACAAACAAGAUACGUAUGUCUUUCCGUUAAGCGAAUGUUACAGUUUGUUUGCAAAAGUCAGUUUUUAGAUUAUAGAAUCGUAGAUAGAAUUUAGAGGAUAGAAACUUUUAGUAGUCACUUUUAGUUUAGUAAAGUCUUAUCGACAAUAAGCAGACUACGUUAUGAUACAACGAUUCCAACUGAAGAUUUCUAUCGACAUCACGAAUUCGAUGGCUUCCAAAUUUUCUUCUCUGCAAUCUCAGACGCUCAUCUCGAAAGAAUCUUUUAGAUCCCCCGACAAACACUCGACUCAGGUUAUCUAUUAUCGUAAUCUUCUUACGGGAUUUUUUUUAACUGCGUUGCGUUAACGAAUAACGGGAUAACAUCACGUUUCUCUCAACGCCUUUCAACGUUCUACAACUUUUAUUCUUUGCAAAUCCCAGUCUCUAUAUGAUAAACGCUGGUUAUCCGCGGAAUUUACGAUUUCAAUUUCUUUAACGAGAUAUUUAUCAUAUUACACAAUUCCUGUAAAUGUAUUUGUAAUUAUAUCGCCGAAGAAUUGUAUUUAAUUAAGCUAUGAAGUUGUGGAAUCGUGAGAAGGAUUAUUUUUAUAGAACUGUCUAAUUUCCAUUCGACAUUGAUUCAGGAUACACAUUACUCUUUUUUACAUAAUACCAGUUUUGUCAUUUUUAAUUAACAAAUACCUCCAAAGGUUGAAGUUUCUAAAAUUAUCCAUUAAAUUCUGACAAUAAAAUAAAAAUCCAAAUUCUUCCUAAAAAGCUAGUGAUCUUUAGUUAAGAGUUCGAUUUUUCACAUUUUUGAAGGUAAAUUAAAAAAAUUGUUUAAUAGAGGAGGUACAAAAUAAAUGUAUACAAACCUUUUUUCAGACGACAUGGGCGGACUUCGUCUUUGCAGCGGCCCUUGAAAAUUUUGAGUAUAUAUUUGGGGCAGCUGCUUUCGACCAAUAUCCAGCUCUUCAAACAUUGAAGAAUAGGAUUCAUAGAAUACCGGCCAUUUCUGAUUGGCUGAUUAGGCGCCCA